Molecule: ribosomal RNA, 482 nt
Filed under: uncultured bacterium
Lineage: Bacteria
Description: partial 16S ribosomal RNA
Rfam family: Bacterial small subunit ribosomal RNA
Source: RNAcentral
AUUGAACGCUGGCUGCAUGCCUUACACAUGCAAGUCGAACGGUAACGGGCCUUCGGGUGCCGACGAGUGGCGAACGGGUGAGUAAUACAUCGGCACGUGCCCGAUCGUGGGGGAUAACGAGGCGAAAGCUUUGCUAAUACCGCAUACGAUCUACGGAUGAAAGCAGGGGACCGCAAGGCCUUGCGCGGACGGGGCGGCCGAUGGUGGCUUAGGUAGUUGGUGUGAUAAAAGCUUACUAAGCCGACGAUCUGUAGCUGGUCUGAGAGGAUGAUCAGCCACAUUAGGACUGAGACACGGCCCAGGCUCCUGCGGGAGGCCGCAGUGGGGAAUUUUGGACAAUGGGGGAAAGCCUGAUCCAGCCAUGCCGCGUGAGGGAUGAAGGCCUUCGGGUUGUAAACUGCUUUUGUACGGAACGAAAAGCCUUCUUUUAAUACAGGAGGGUCAUGACGGUACCGGAAGAAUAAGCACCGGCUAACUACGUG